AUUGAACGCUGGCGGCAGGCCUAACACAUGCAAGUCGAGCGGAUGAAGGGAGCUUGCUCCUGGAUUCAGCGGCGGACGGGUGAGUAAUGCCUAGGAAUCUGCCUGGUAGUGGGGGAUAACGUCCGGAAACGGGCGCUAAUACCGCAUACGUCCUGAGGGAGAAAGUGGGGGAUCUUCGGACCUCACGCUAUCAGAUGAGCCUAGGUCGGAUUAGCUAGUUGGUGGGGUAAAGGCCUACCAAGGCGACGAUCCGUAACUGGUCUGAGAGGAUGAUCAGUCACCCUGGAACGGAGACACGGUCCAGGCUCCUACGGGAGGCAGCAGUGGGGAAUAUUGGACAAUGGGCGAAAGCCUGAUCCAGCCAUGCCGCGUGUGUGAAGAAGGUCUUCGGAUUGUAAAGCACUUUAAGUUGUGAGGAAGGGCAGUAAGUUAAUACCUUGCUGUUUUGACGUUACCAACAGAAUAAGCACCGGCUAACUUCGUG
This 484-nucleotide ribosomal RNA is filed under the name uncultured bacterium. Its description in RNAcentral is "partial 16S ribosomal RNA". It matches the Rfam family "Bacterial small subunit ribosomal RNA", at positions 30 to 507 of the family's 1533-position model. The record is from RNAcentral.